RNAcentral lists this ribosomal RNA (470 nucleotides) under uncultured bacterium. Its description in RNAcentral is "bacterial SSU rRNA". It matches the Rfam family "Bacterial small subunit ribosomal RNA", at positions 76 to 543 of the family's 1533-position model. The record is from RNAcentral.
GGGGCAACCUGGCGACGAGUGGCGAACGGGUGAGUAAAGCAUCGGAACGUGCCCUGAAGCGGGGGAUAGCCCGGCGAAAGCCGGAUUAAUACCGCAUGAGACCUGAGGGUGAAAGCGGGGGAUCGCAAGACCUCGCGCUUUAGGAGCGGCCGAUGUCAGAUUAGCUAGUUGGUGGGGUAAAGGCCUACCAAGGCGACGAUCUGUAGCUGGUCUGAGAGGACGACCAGCCACACUGGGACUGAGACACGGCCCAGACUCCUACGGGAGGCAGCAGUGGGGAAUUUUGGACAAUGGGCGCAAGCCUGAUCCAGCCAUGCCGCGUGCGGGAAGAAGGCCUUCGGGUUGUAAACCGCUUUUGUCAGGGAAGAAAUCCUUUGGGUUAAUACCUCGGGGGGAUGACGGUACCUGAAGAAUAAGCACCGGCUAACUACGUGCCAGCAGCCGCGGUAAUACGUAGGGUGCAAGCGUUA